UUUGAAGGCUUUUUCAGGACAGACUGGGCAGCUCCGUGUCCCUCGGGCCGCUCUCCUCUCGGCCGGGCCAUGGCGGCCAGUGCGGUCGCGUGCAUGGUGGACAAGCACGCAGACGCCGCCGUGCCGUCCCUUGUUCCCUGACCACGCCUCCAGCCCGUAUCUCUGGAAGGACAUGAGCGCUGGGUCGUGCACAAGCCCAGUGAGCAGGUGCAGAGUCGGUUUAUGGAGCCCACCGGGCUGGCCCCCCAGGGCUGGAAGGCGGGUCAGGGUAGGAAUGCCCCUCGGCUGCCCUCCCAGGGCCUCAGCUCCCUGGGGGAUGGUGAGGACGAGUAAGCCAGCACACGGUGGCUGCAGUGACAGUGACGUGAGGAUUGUUGGAGAAGGACCUGAAGUCUUGCGGAGAUGGCAGUUUUCGUGGAACAAUGAUGUUUUGCUGCAAGGACUAGUGGGGAGGACAGUCCUGGCAUUUACAGCUAUAAAUUUCCACCUCGGACCUACUUUAGCUGCACCUCAUAAGUUUGGGAAAGAGAGACAAGAAAAGAGAGCAAGCGAACUCUAUUCCUGCUGCAGUGUGAAGCCUGUGGUGUCAAUCCUCAGAGGACAUGCCACCCUGGGGUGACAGUGAUUUCAGCAGGGCCCUCUGGGGCUCUCUGUCCCUGGUCUCUCUGCUGAGCUAUCUGACACCUAGCUCUGGGUGUCCGCUAAUGGCCAGCAGGUUGCUCUGUUAUUGUUGACAAUGCCUGGGAUACAACUUUACCCCCAGUCUGAUCCUAUUAAAUUUGGGCUCCUUUGCAGGGGUCAUUUUUUGAUGCAAGUCCUUGCGGCUUGUUCCGACCCCAGGAGAUCUCUUCUUAUUUACCUCUUUCCCGUGUCCUCUCUAGGAAACCAGCUGGUCUAUGGUUGAGCUAGUUUCUCCAAAGAAGCUACAGUCUCCUCUCAGUUGCUUGUCACCAAAUCCCCCAUUGAUUUCAAGAGCACCCACAGGCUCGAACCUCCCCACACUCUGGUUCAGAUAAAGCCGGUUCCUCUGGGGAGGGCCUGGGAGCUCCCUUCUCACAGACUGCCUUUCCCUGGGAGGGCCUGUCACUCUGCAGGCGGGCGGGGCAGUGGCCCACUCCCCUCAGAGGUACGUUCUUACUUUGUGAGCAGGGCCUGGGCAGGGGCAGGCACCUCUGGGCAUCUCCACCUGCCUCUCGUGGAGCCCGACCCCACAGGUGAGUGGAGCAAAGGUGAGACGGGCUGCGUGUGCCCGGCCUGCUGUGCCCAGGGAGGGUCUCCACCCUGUGGCUGGGCUGGAUGGAGGAACGAAGCCCCCGGCUUCAUGUGCUCUAUGCCCUUAGAAUAUUCCCAGGGACUUAAAAUUUUUUUCCUCCAGUUAUUGUUGUUCUGCUGGAGAAUGGGCCUGUGGACCUCCUCACAGUGAUAGCCCAGAGCUGGCUUCCUGAAAGUCUUGUGGGGAGAGGGGGCCAUGCAGGCGAGCACAGCUAACCGAGGGACAAUAAUGAAUUUGGAACUGCAGCCUCGUCCUUCUGAUCGUCAGGGGCCAGGUCAUCCUUUUUGCCACCAGGAAUCAACUGUGUCCCGUGAUGUCUUCAGUUUGAACAGACAGAUAAUCCGAAAGAGAUUACUGCCCCUCGGCUCACCGGCACAGGCGAUGGCAGCUCAUAUGAAGCGCAGCACGUCCCCAGACGCACUGCACCCCGACCACAGGCCCACGGGGAGCUGACGGCGGCACCUGUCUGCUUGGCAGGUGACGAUGCUUGGCCCACAGUGAACACUUCUGCCUGAGAAUAGGGAGGUGUAAAGUGAUUCAGCAUACUCCAGGCACGAGUGUCUCUCCUUUGUCCUUUCAAUGAUGAAGUGCUGGCAGCUUGGGAGUAAACAGCAGCACUGGGGAGAAACGGGCCUUUUCUUUUAUAAAAGAUAAACCCGAAUGCGACGGAUGCUGUUUGCCCGGGUCAGCGAGGCGUCCACGCUAAGCUGAUUAGCUCUGGGCAAAGAAGAAAGACAAACACUGGUUUGAAGGUCGCCCUCAUCUGACUGCUCACAAAUGUUCCAGCUCCAGACAAGCCCUCCGCCUCUGCUGCCUCCGCCUGCUCCCUCCACCCGCUGCCAGCAAGCGGGUCUCUCCCCAGAAUGAGGCCGGGGGCAUGGAUACAGGACACACAGCAGGACGCCCUGCCCCGCCAGCCCUGACCCGGGCAGCCCAGGGAGGGCCUGGGGAGCUGGGACUGGCAGGCUUGGCUGGACGUCACCCUGGGCACUGGGGCUGUGGUCACCAGCCCCUCUGCACACGGAGCUGGUGCAGAAGGCACCCGGCUGGCCUAGGGAGGGGCUGGGAAGGGGCUGGAAGAGAAGCCCUUGCAGUUUUUGGUUUCGCUCUUAAUUGCUGAGAGAUUUCUGAAAACCUGUAUCUCCUCAUAUACUUUUAGUCUAGAACUAAAUGUUUUGAAUUUAUGCUUUUACAAAGGAUUCCAUUUCUGGUCUAUUGUGAACACUGAAGUUUUAAAAUAAACCCUCGCAUUCUUCCUUUACACGCACGCAGUGGCAACGUGGUCAGUGUUGGCUCCAGCCUCCCAGGGCACCUGUGCCACACACCCCUGUCCGCUCCCCAAGUGCCUGCACCCCACGCAUCCCAUGCUCCCAGGUUUCCCCGUGUCCCCACAGACCCCAUGAAAUGUGUCUCGCAGCCCACCCCACCCUGCACCCCAAUGCCAGAGCCACCUGAGUCCUCCUCCAGGCAUGGAAGAACUCUGAGUUCACCAG
This is a long non-coding RNA of Equus caballus (horse), 2766 nucleotides long. NCBI's taxonomy places the organism in Eukaryota, Metazoa, Chordata, Mammalia, Perissodactyla, Equidae. The record is from Ensembl.